GACGAACGCUGGCGGCGUGCCUAAUACAUGCAAGUAGAACGCUGAAGGAGGAGCUUGCUUCUCCGGAUGAGUUGCGAACGGGUGAGUAACGCGUAGGUAACCUGCCUGGUAGCGGGGGAUAACUAUUGGAAACGAUAGCUAAUACCGCAUAACAGUAGAUGUUGCAUGACAUUUGCUUAAAAGGUGCAAUUGCAUCACUACCAGAUGGACCUGCGUUGUAUUAGCUAGUUGGUGAGGUAACGGCUCACCAAGGCGACGAUACAUAGCCGACCUGAGAGGGUGAUCGGCCGCACUGGGACUGAGACACGGCCCAGACGCCUACGGGAGGCAGCAGUAGGGAAUCUUCGGCAAUGGACGGAAGUCUGACCGAGCAACGCCGCGUGAGUGAAGAAGGGUUUCGGAUCGUAAAGCUCUGUUGUAAGAGAAGAACGAGUGUGAGAGUGGAAAGUUCACACUGUGACGGUAUCUUACCAGAAAGGGACGGCUAACUACGUG
This 495-nucleotide ribosomal RNA is filed under the name uncultured bacterium. Its description in RNAcentral is "partial 16S ribosomal RNA". It matches the Rfam family "Bacterial small subunit ribosomal RNA", at positions 28 to 507 of the family's 1533-position model. The record is from RNAcentral.